This 377-nucleotide ribosomal RNA is filed under the name uncultured eukaryote. RNAcentral's name for it is "partial 18S ribosomal RNA". It matches the Rfam family "Eukaryotic small subunit ribosomal RNA", at positions 592 to 976 of the family's 1831-position model. The record is from RNAcentral.
CAAUAGCGUAUAUUUAAGUUGCUGCAGUUAAAAAGCUCGUAGUUGGAUUUCGGGUGGGAAUGGCCGGUCCGCCGUUUCGGUGUGCACUUGCUACGCCCACCUUGCUGCCGGGGACGUGCUCUUGAGUUCACGCUCGGGACACGGAGUCGGCGAGGUUACUUUGAGUAAAUUAGAGUGUUCAAAGCAGGCCUACGCUCUGAAUACAUUAGCAUGGAAUAACACGAUAGGACUCUGGCCUAUCUUGUUGGUCUGUAGGACCGGAGUAAUGAUUAAGAGGGACAGUCGGGGGCAUUCGUAUUUCAUUGUCAGAGGUGAAAUUCUUGGAUUUAUGAAAGACGAACUACUGCGAAAGCAUUUGCCAAGGAUGUUUUCAUCGA